AUGUUUCAGAAAGUAGAUGGAAAAACCCGCUGGAAAUUGGCUGGGCGUAAGUUCAGCGACUUAUCUCUCUCUACUCGCGCUUCAGACGAAGCAAGAACGCUCGAUGACCCUCCGCUUCCUCGAGCUAGCAUCAAGAUGGAGAUCUUGGUCAAGACGAUCACCAUCAAGGUUGAUCCAUCUGACACCAUCGACGUUGUCAAGACAAAGGUCCAAGAUCAGCAGCGCCUUGUUUUCAAUGGGGAGCAGCUUGAAGACGAGCGUACUCUGGCUGAUUAUGACAUCCAGGACGAAUCCACUCUCACCCUCGAUCUGCCCAUCCAAAGGAGGAGGGUGCUAAUCCGUGUCGAAACGCCAUUGCAAAUCCACCCUCUGUAA
RNAcentral lists this ribosomal RNA (375 nucleotides) under Triticum aestivum (bread wheat). Its description in RNAcentral is "partial small subunit ribosomal RNA". The record is from RNAcentral. Lineage: Eukaryota; Viridiplantae; Streptophyta; Magnoliopsida; Poales; Poaceae.